GUGUGUUUCUGGUCGACAUUUUCACCAGACAAGAAAAGGUUCUUCUCUUGAACCCUAAAUUACAAAGAAAUGCUCAAAUCGAAGGGGAAAUCAAGCUAAAAAUUGGGGAUUUUAUUAAAUUCGUGAUCACCAAGUCAUGAGGAUCACAAGUUUGACUCUUGACGAGCUAGGUGAAGCUUGGAGGAGAUGAUCAAACGGGAUAAAGACACAAGUAAGACUUGCUUGGAUGAAAGGUAAGUAAAGCUUACACCUAUUUUUUUAGCAUACGUAUUUAUUCUAUAGGUGAUAAAUACAACAAUAGAUCAUGUUCGAAUUAUGGGUUCCGACACGAAAUGAAAUGGGUCGGAACGAAUAAAAAUGUUUAAAAUCAUGAUUAAUGGUGAAAGAGGUAAAAUGGUAAUUUAGUCAUAAAUCGACUAAGAAUUUAUGAGUUUUCUUAAAGUUACCUCAUAGCUUAACUAAUAAUGGAAAAAGGGGUAAAAUGGUAAUUUAGUCACGUGAUGACUUAUUGUAAUCGAGAUUAAAAGGAUACCCACGGCGUAAGCCGAACUGGGUCAAAUAUGUAAGAAAAAAAGGAAAUUUUUGUGGUAAAAUCCGUAAUGGGUCGGAUGCGUGAUUGAGUAAUUAGAAACCAUGAUUUGUAAUAAAUAUAAUUGUUUGGUCGUAUAGACCAAAUGGGUCAAAUGAUGGUGAUAACAUCAUAUGACCAUAUCGACUAAUGUUGGUUGUUAAGUCAUAUGUUUACAGGAACGAAUAGCAAUUUGGAUAAUUGCGUCGUCAUAGAAUAUUGAAUUAAUAAUAGCAAGGUAUAAACGGGUCUAUACGUUGACUCGAGCCAGGUACGCUUAUAUAUAGAUUUAUAGUUAAAAGUGUUUAACUUCCCUUAACGGGUCAAAAUGAGUAGAUAGGUAAAACGGGUUAAGAAUUCAUAAGAAACCUGUAAUUUGAACCUUGCAUAUUAAUAAAUUAAUAUAACGUGAUAUGCAUGAUAUUUUGAAAAGGUAAUAAACAAGUUUGUUUGAUAAAUCACGAACGGGUCAAAAAGUGUCAUAAUUGAUUUUCAAGCCGAGAGCUUAAAAGUUAAAAUUUUGUGAAUUUAGAUGUCGGGAGUGAAGAUGGAAAAUUAAAUUACGAACGCGUAGGAAAAAGAAUCGCGAAGAACGGACUUGUAGAAUGAAAGUUAUGUCAAUUUAAAGUUCAAAAUUUAUUAAAAUUUGAGCUGGAAAGAAAAUGCAGGUUCAUAUAUAAACAUGCUGGAAACUGGUCUCCCCCGCGGCACGCGAAGGGGAAAUAAGGUCCGGGCGCGCCACGCGAUAGGCGUCGUGGCACGCGACACAUCUAGUUGAGUCUCUCGCGACACGCGAGGGACAUAAAGGCUGGAAAAAUUAUUUUUGGUUAAUUGUUUGAUGCGUAGAACUUGUUUAAACUUAUAUUUAAGUUAUCAAAACUAACUUUUAGGUUGGUUUUGAUCAUAGGUGAAUAUCGAAAGUACCCGGACGAAGAUCAAGCAACGAGAAAGAACCGAACACAUGAAGAAGAAGCUUCUGCACGUUGUUUCGUCGAAAUUUUUUAAACGACAAACUAAACUACAUUAUGUUGUUCUAAACUUUAAAUUGUAAAAGUUUUAAUAAACCUGUACUUGUUAAUGUAUAUGUGCUCUUAAUCACAUGUUUAUU
RNAcentral lists this long non-coding RNA (1676 nucleotides) under Helianthus annuus (common sunflower). Its description in RNAcentral is "hypothetical non coding rna". The record is from RNAcentral. Lineage: Eukaryota; Viridiplantae; Streptophyta; Magnoliopsida; Asterales; Asteraceae.